RNAcentral lists this long non-coding RNA (367 nucleotides) under Salvia miltiorrhiza (redroot sage). Its description in RNAcentral is "long non-coding RNA (SMIL_LNC012644)". The record is from RNAcentral. Lineage: Eukaryota; Viridiplantae; Streptophyta; Magnoliopsida; Lamiales; Lamiaceae.
CGACCUAGGCGGCGGUCGCCGGUCAGGUCGCCGGAAAUCCUUCUUCGGGCGGUGGUCAACGGUGUUUGACCGCCGAGUUCUGACUGCUGCGCGUGAUGUUUUUGUUUCGGCCAUAACUUUCUUGUCCGAACUCGGAUUUGCUAUCCGUUUGUGCUCACGAACUCCUAUCGAGACUAUCUACAACUUGUAUUUCAGUACAGUUUUCCAAAUUCAAACUCAAUAAACCUGAAAUGUCCUUCAAAGUUCGAGUAAGAAUCGUGUUUCACAAGAUAAAGCAAAUUAAGCACAAAACAACCACCCAACACUCAAUUUCCUAUAAAAAUGACAUCAUAUGAACACUAAAACCAUGGAAACAUGAGUGUUAUCA